This 510-nucleotide ribosomal RNA is filed under the name uncultured bacterium. RNAcentral's name for it is "partial 16S ribosomal RNA". It matches the Rfam family "Bacterial small subunit ribosomal RNA", at positions 28 to 507 of the family's 1533-position model. The record is from RNAcentral.
GACGAACGCUGGCGGCGUGCUUAACACAUGCCAGUCGAACGAAGAGCGAUGGACGCUUGCUUCUAUCAAUCUUAGUGGCGAACGGGUGAGUAACGCGUAAUCAACCUGCCCUUCAGAGGGGAACCACAGUUGGAAACGACUGCUAAUACCGCAUACGAUCUAAUCUCGGCAUCGAGGAUAGAUGAAAGGUGGCCUCUACAUGUAAGCUAUCACUGAAGGAGGGGAUUGCGUCUGAUUAGCUAGUUGGAGGGGUAACGGCCCACCAAGGCGAUGAUCAGUAGCCGGUCUGAGAGGAUGAACGGCCACAUUGGGACUGAGACGCGGCCCAGACUCCUACGGGAGGCAGCAGUGGGGAAUCUUCCGCAAUGGACGAAAGUCUGACGGAGCAACGCCGCGUGAGCGAUGACGGCCUUCGGGUUGUAAAGCUCUGUUAAUCGGGACGAAAGGCCUUCUUGCGAAUAGUGAGAAGGAUUGACGGUACCGGAAUAGAAAGCCACGGCUAACUACGUG